RNAcentral lists this ribosomal RNA (254 nucleotides) under uncultured bacterium. RNAcentral's name for it is "partial 16S ribosomal RNA". It matches the Rfam family "Bacterial small subunit ribosomal RNA", at positions 524 to 776 of the family's 1533-position model. The record is from RNAcentral.
UACGUAGGAGGCGAGCGUUGUCCGGAAUUACUGGGCGUAAAGCGCGCGUAGGCGGCGCGACGCGACCGGUGUGAAAGCCCCCGGCUCAACUGGGGAGGGUCAUCGGUAACGGUCGUGCUGUGAGUGCAGGAGAGGGAAGUGGAAUUCCCGGUGUAGUGGUGAAAUGCGUAGAUAUCGGGAGGAACACCAGUGGCGAAGGCGACUUCCUGGCCUGUUCUUGACGCUGAGGCGCGAAAGCUAGGGGAGCAAACGGG